Long non-coding RNA from Clupea harengus (Atlantic herring), 5822 nucleotides. NCBI's taxonomy places the organism in Eukaryota, Metazoa, Chordata, Actinopteri, Clupeiformes, Clupeidae. The record is from Ensembl.
GUGUGAAAGCAACCCUUUUCAGUCUUCACUUCUCUUUUGAGUGUUCAGUUCUUUUUUAACUCUGCUGUUAAGCUUCUAUUAUUUUUCUGUCUUGUGCAUAUGUCUCUCUCUCUCUCUUUCUCUCACUCUCUCUCUUUUUCUCUGUUGCACUCUUACUCCCUCUCCCUCGUCACGAACUUUCUCUCUAUUUUUCAUCUCUUGCUUCAUUUUUUCACUCCGUCUGUUUGAAGCGCUCUUUUUUUUCCAGUCGUACCCCCUGUUUAGCUUUAUUCAUGGGAGUUUAAGACAAAAGGAAACGUCCAAAUUUUGGCACUGCUAAGGAGUCAGAACCGCAGCCAAGGACCCUGCUGGGAUCCAAAAAAACCCGAGCACAGCGAAGCGCCAAAAAAAAAAAAAAAAAAAAAAAAAAGAAAACACCACCCUUUCCUUUGCAUGGUCACAAAUUCCACUUUCUCUGUAGCCAGGGCAGUGCUGAACCUCCUUCUCGACCGCAUCUCACCGCGUACGACCUUUCCGCCUUUUCUCUCCCACGGAAUCUUUUUUCAAAUCCGUUUUGGGGUUUUCGUUUCCCGGUAAAAUGUGGAUAGGACAGCCGGACAGGAGGUUGAAAGAGCCAGGGAAUGAGGGGACAGUGUUUUGAGGCACUCUUGUCGAUGACUUGGCGCUAUCCCGUCGUUUGAAACAACACUGUUAUUUGGCUGCUUGCGAUUCUCCUUUUUUUAAGUUUCAGGAAACAUUUCUCGUCUUCUCUGCGGUUUAUUCAUGUUUUUGUUUGGCGCUGGAAUCGGCCUACCCUGUCCCCUAAGCCUGACUCCAUUUUGAUCACAGGUGAGGACAGACCGCCCUUUGCGGACACGGCGCUGUUCAGCAUCGUUGCCACUGGCUCGUGCGGUACUGGCCCACUGGUAUGUGUCUCUUCUUAUUCCCUUCUGCUUCCCUCUCCAUUCACUGUCCACCUUAUCACUUCACACAAGCCAAACAGCCGUUUGUGCCUCUCUCACACUAAUGGUUUUGAUGCGUAGACUUUACGACUUGAUGCUGAUAUAUUGUGUGAUCAGAUCCUCUUGGCCAUACAAAUGAAUAAAAGUCCGAUCUUCGCUCCCACACACCUCUGAAUCCCAGUGUCCUCACAUACAUUGAAGUAUUUUUUUUCCUUAUAAACAGCUACGGUUCCUUUGAAACUUUCAAGCAUGUAAUAAAACACAAAUAAUUCCAAUUGCGACAGCUGCAAAAUUGGCCUUUGUGCUGAAAAGUUGUGAGGCGUGAUGUAAAUGUUUACAUUUGAGUUAGCUCUGACUCUUGCCUUCUGUAGGAUCCCAAGUAAAUACAGUAUGCAUACAUGCAGACCGCAGAAUAGAUAGUCAGAGUUAUCAGAGUAAUGAAAAUGUCUGUUUGCUCUUGCAACAUUCUAUUUUCACUCAUAUUCCGCAAUGUUUCAAACAUCUCAAAUGGUUUUCCAACAGUCGUUUUCAUCAAAAUCAAAAUCCGUAUCAAAAUAUGAUCAAUAUAUUUCAAAAUAACUGUUACACUGUCAAGAUGCAGAUUUCAUGACAGUAUUUCUCAGUACUUGGUCUAUUGUUUGAUCAUAUCGGUUGAUAAAUGUCAGAGGGGAGUGGCAGAACCCUGUGUAUUUUGCUACAUUGAAUUGCAGCUUGUUGCAUUCAGAUAUUUUUGUAUUCUGGCACAAGAACCCUAAUGGAUAAUGGAUAUUUGGUGCAGUGCUCCUUUUUGAAUCUGCAUGGGCAAGCCAAUAGGGUUUUGAACGAUUUCACACAGACCAGAUUUUAUGAGUUGUUGUGUAAUCGCAAUAACUCGUAUAGUAAAAUCAACAUAUUUGAUUAAAAUCAACGUAUUUGAACAGAAUGACAGGAUUGGGAUAAUAACACAUGUCAAGGUCGGUAAAAAACAGCAUAGCAACAUUUUUAUAUAGUCAUGUACUUUUUUCUUCCAAGCGAAGAAACUAUGUAUGUCACAACUUUGAUGUGUACUUUAAGACUUUAUAAACACUUUAAUUUAAUUCAUUCCUUUUGAAAGUUUGAUUAGGACAGAGGUUUAAGUUGCUGGAAUUUUAAGGUGACCUUCAAACCUGAAAAUAUCCCAGCAGUUACAGACUGUACAGAAUUAUGAUACUAAUGUGAUCUGUAUUGCUGUUCUAUACUAAAAAUGACAGUCUUUACAACAUUUAUCUGGCGAAUUGUACACCAGGUAUAUGCUAAAAAUGUUUUCUUUUCAAAGAAUUUGAAGUAACAGAACUAUUGCUCAUUAUAACCAUUGAACCAUCAUAGUUGAGGCAAACUACCUUCAUAGCAAGAGAGGUGUGUUGCCCCAUAGGUGUCUUAUAUGUCCUUCAUAUGAUGUUGUAUAGUCUGUAUGACAUUGUCCCACUUUGUAGCACAAUAUGAUACUUUUGACCCGACCCUCAUCUGGUCCAUUGCAAGUCAUUUGUGAAUUGGAUUAUGUUGUAUUACUUCCUCCUAAAUUAUUAGUUUGGUUUGUAAAGUGUCGUGUUUCACUUGGACAACUUUUUUUUUUCAUUUAAUUUUUGAAGUGAAAGAUACUGUGAGUUUUAGUAUGUGUGAUAAAAGGUCAGCGCUUACAAUUUCUUUCCAUUCACACAAAGUUGGAUCGCAUGUGGUACACUGUCUAAGCCUUUUAACAUGUUGUAAUGAUUCUUGUUUCUUUUUUGGUAAUUUUUUAUUUAUUUUUUACUCACUGCUUAAAACUCUGUUCCAACGUGGAAGGGGAAAUGCCAGCUGCCACAAACCCGUAGAUCCGAACUUGUGGUGACUGGCAACACAAGCUCGUGUCUAUAGGUAUGUGUCUGCAGGGCCAGGACACCACACCGGGCUGCCAGAUCGGGCCUUACUCACCUUCCAGGGGCUCAGGCAGGCCUUACCGUACGUGUCUGGUGCACAUCCAGCAAAAGUCCGCUUGUUUAAGGAGACGCGGUUGAGGACAUGGGCAUUGAAUGUGAACCUGACUUACUAGGGCCACGGGUUGGGGACUCUUUGGGCGUACGCUCUUGGAUGCCUGUUCCCCCCGCCCUUUCGUACCUCAGUCCACCCCGCCCAGGCUAAGCGCUAACCUCAGUGGCCACACCCUCUCUGCGGCGUGCUCCCAGGCUGAGGUAGUAGGUUGUAUAGUUGAGAGUUACACCAUGGGAGAUAACUGUACAGCCUCCUAGCUUUCCCUGAGAUAUCGCUCGGCGCCAUCCCGGGACACGGCCUCAGAUGCGUUAAAGCGUUGACGUCAAUCUACAGCUACAGCAGUGCAGGGGUUUCUGCUUGACCUGAUCAUGCUGCACCAACUGCAGUACCUAACCCAAGAGCCAAUUGGCAGGCUCCAUUUUGUUGACCUCACUCUGAAUGUGAAGGACAUAGGGAAUGACGUAGAACUGUGCCCUUAUCAGACAUAUUUCGAAUGCACAAAAUAUUUCACAUUAUAUUCACACAUCACAGAAAUAAGUAAGCAACAAACAAAUCCAAAUUCAGAAGAAGGAUCCAAGUUCAGAUGAGGACAGUUCUAGAAAGUUAUAUAUAUAUAUAUAUAUAUAUACACACAAAACAAAAAAGUAAUACAAAGUUUUAAUAUUAUGAAUGCAUCUGCAACCAAUGGCAGUACAAAAUAUCCCCCUGAAAAACAUGCCUAUUAUUUGCAUACCAUAAUACCAAGACAAUGAACUUACAAUGCAUAAGAUAAAUGUCUUUUUCAUUUCCAAUGAUUGCCUUUGUAAACACAAUACAUUAUUUGUUCUUAAAUAUGUGUCUAUGUAAAAUGUAUCAAGAGCAAAUAGUUACAAACAGUUUUUUUGAUUAUGAGCUUCUUGGGCAACUUUUUUUUAACAUGUUCACACACCCCAAAACCCUGUUGAAUGAAAUGGGUGUGCCUCGUUACAAGAUGGAAAUAAAAAGGCUGUCAUAUCAGUACCCAGCCAUUAUGCUGAUCCAAGCGCCUCACGGGUUCUUGUUGACCUCAGACAGGUGUGGUCUGUGGGUUUCAAAAACGAUCCAUCUUGUGUUUCAUCAGUCAAGCAAAAAAGCAAACAUGGUGUUGAUGUCACUGAGUGUCAGUUGUUUAGAUGGAACUGGCUUACUAUCAACAAUCUGGCAUUAGGAUCAUUUUAGAUGUGGUUUUGGAUGAAGCAGCGCAGCUUAACAUUUGUUUGAAAUGAAUGGAUCACAUCAGAGAACAGGACAAGUUCUCAAGUUCUGGUGGGAAGAAAGUUUGAAUUUGGAAUCGGUUGGAAAUGUUGCACAAUAAAUUAUUGCGUCAGAAAAAAAUAAUUAAACUUUUUUUUAAGUACAUAUGUCAAGAUAUUUGCUUCAUGUGUAAAUAUGAUGUAAACUGAUAUGUUCAUAUAUACAUCGAGGCUAGUAAUUUAGCUUUCAGUUUUACAUAUUGUAAGAGUCUUCUUGUGUGUGUGUGUGUGUGUGUGUGUGUGUUCAUAGAAAGUGUUUGUAUUCCAGCAGACAUGAUGCCAGAGUGGCAGUGUCUCAGACAUGGUGGUUCACAAGCCAAUGUUCAGUUUACAAAACUUCAUCUCAGGUCAUCAAAACUGCCUUUGCUCCUCCAGUCAGAUUUACACUGACACUUUGAAAACAUGUUUCCCUGCCAAUAAAACAUUUGUUUUACUCUUCCAUUUGAGUUUGACGUGAGAGAGAGAGAAAGAGAGCCUCAGAUGCUCGAUGACUGAAUUAGUUGUCAUCCUGGGAAAUUAUUACUGUCUUCACAUAGAUUUGAAGCGUGAUUCAGCGGCCAAAUUUGUACAAAGUUCAUGUUGACUGCAGAAAAAAAAAGAAAUUCUGGCUGAAGCCAUGUGGUAAUGGGAGCGACGGAAAGGCAAAAACAACUCCCAUAAAAAAUCCCAACCAAAUUAGAUGAAGUGGCACAAGCUAUCCAGUUACUGUUAAAGUAAGAAACACUGAGGCAAUGCUACCCUACCACUGUCCUUAAGAGUCACCAGAACUCCGGCAAGCCGACUUGCCAACGUUUACCAUUAGAUACUUCCUUCACAGCAGCACGUUUGGUGUUUUUCAUUGGAGUUAUUGAUUUAGACAUGGAGGGGAAGCUGGUGUAUCUGUGUGAUAUUUUUAUGAGCUUUCUUGUUAAGUGCCUUGUUUAGUGUGGUCUCACAUAAUGUACAGCUGGUCUAGUCAUACUCCUGCUAAAUCUACAUCAUACGCGCAGAUGUAAAUGCAUUCAGCGCAAGUGCUUUGCAGAUGUGCCGUGUUCUACAGAUGUAGGGUAUGCACAUCGAACCGCCGCAAGUGAUUUAUCAGCAUGGUGAAAUUAUGGUGACCGAUACUAACAUGACUACAAUACUAGCAGAAUUAGAAAUCGAAAUGCAUCCUGUUGGUAUUAUCAGACCUUUGUUGACCAGAGUCCUCUAUGAGUCGACAAGUCAUUAAAUCCUAAUUAUAUUUGUUUCAUUUUCACACUUCUUUGCGGUCAUAUUUUCUUUGAAGCUUUGCUUUCACUGUCCUUUUGUCUUCUUUGUCGCCCAUCCUUAAGGCAACAGAUAGUAUAGUAUUGGAAGACAAUAGUUCCAUUGUGUUCAGAGGGAUUUGUCACAGCAAUGCGUUUUAAGCAUGACAUCACAGCCAGGGGCGGAAGAUUAUUUUCUUUCUACGGGUUGUUAAUAUUUUAUUAUCAUUUUACCAUUUGCUAGUGUUUGUGGACAACAACUUGUCAGUUUGUCACAAAUGCUGUUCUGUUAAUACUUUUCCAUGUGGUAAGCGGACUGAGGGCAUGCUGCCUCAUUGCUGUUGAAUGUAGCUAAUGAACUGAAUUUCACAGGUACAAAGAAACAACACGUGUUUCGU